This 72-nucleotide transfer RNA is filed under the name Rattus norvegicus (Norway rat). It matches the Rfam family "tRNA". From Rfam's summary of the family: Transfer RNA (tRNA) molecules are approximately 80 nucleotides in length. Their secondary structure includes four short double-helical elements and three loops (D, anti-codon, and T loops). The record is from Rfam by way of RNAcentral. Lineage: Eukaryota; Metazoa; Chordata; Mammalia; Rodentia; Muridae.
GACAGUGUAGCUCAGUUAGGAGAGCACUUGUCUAGCAUAUAGAAGGUCCUGGGUUUGAUUCCCAGAGAGUCA